UGGGGAAUAUUGCACAAUGGGCGCAAGCCUAAUGCAGCCAUGCCGCGUGUAUGAAGAAGGCCUUCGGGUUGUAAAGUACUUUCAGCGGGGAGGAAGGGAGUAAAGUUAAUACCUUUGCUCAUUGACGUUACCCGCAGAAGAAGCACCGGCUAACUCCGUGCCAGCAGCCGCGGUAAUACGGAGGGUGCAAGCGUUAAUCGGAAUUACUGGGCGUAAAGCGCACGCAGGCGGUUUGUUAAGUCAGAUGUGAAAUCCCCGGGCUCAACCUGGGAACUGCAUCUGAUACUGGCAAGCUUGAGUCUCGUAGAGGGGGGUAGAAUUCCAGGUGUAGCGGUGAAAUGCGUAGAGAUCUGGAGGAAUACCGGUGGCGAAGGCGGCCCCCUGGACGAAGACUGACGCUCAGGUGCGAAAGCGUGGGGAGCAAACAGG
RNAcentral lists this ribosomal RNA (429 nucleotides) under Chloroflexota bacterium. RNAcentral describes it as "Chloroflexi bacterium partial 16S ribosomal RNA". It matches the Rfam family "Bacterial small subunit ribosomal RNA", at positions 355 to 776 of the family's 1533-position model. RNAcentral also lists the same sequence under 1 other name. The record is from RNAcentral. Lineage: Bacteria; Bacillati; Chloroflexota.